UGGGGAAUUUUCCGCAAUGGGCGAAAGCCUGACGGAGCAAUACCGCGUGAGGGAGGAAGGCUCUUGGGUUGUAAACCUCUUUUCUCAGGGAAGAACACAAUGACGGUACCUGAGGAAUCAGCAUCGGCUAACUCCGUGCCAGCAGCCGCGGUAAUACGGAGGAUGCAAGCGUUAUCCGGAAUGAUUGGGCGUAAAGCGUCCGCAGGUGGCUGUGUAAGUCUGCUGUCAAAGAGCAAAGCUUAACUUUGUAAAGGCAGUGGAAACUACACGGCUAGAGUGCGUUCGGGGCAGAGGGAAUUCCUGGUGUAGCGGUGAAAUGCGUAGAGAUCAGGAAGAACACCGGUGGCGAAGGCGCUCUGCUAGGCCGCAACUGACACUGAGGGACGAAAGCUAGGGGAGCGAAUG
This 405-nucleotide ribosomal RNA is filed under the name uncultured cyanobacterium. RNAcentral's name for it is "partial 16S ribosomal RNA". It matches the Rfam family "Bacterial small subunit ribosomal RNA", at positions 355 to 774 of the family's 1533-position model. Lineage: Bacteria; Bacillati; Cyanobacteriota. The record is from RNAcentral.